GUCAAAAUUCAAAUCGCGGGAAAUAUCUCCGAAAACGUCGGAUUGCUCCUAAAUCCCUGCGGUAAAAUCCCCGAAAUAUCCGAAGUGACCAGGAUUCCUGGAAAACGAAACUGACCUGACGGGACUAGAAAAACCUUUUUUAAAUGACAAAGGUAAUACAAGAAGGAAGGUAAAGUUGUUCGUUAUGCACUGAAAGUCAUUUAAAACAUUAGAAUAUUUCAAAGUUGGACGUCGUUGCACACAAAAUAGCAAUAAAGGCCCCUACGUCGCCGCCGCUGCGUGCCCGAAACAAUACAAACUUGAAACCUGGACCGUCGAUGAUCAAAACUCGGCCUAAUGUCGCCGAUAACGACUUCAUCGGGCCCAAUUGUUC
Long non-coding RNA from Cylas formicarius (sweet potato weevil), 373 nucleotides. RefSeq lists it as uncharacterized. The transcript is spliced from 3 exons. Lineage: Eukaryota; Metazoa; Arthropoda; Insecta; Coleoptera; Brentidae. The record is from RefSeq and is a predicted model, not a curated record.